Molecule: ribosomal RNA, 460 nt
Filed under: uncultured bacterium
Lineage: Bacteria
Description: partial 16S ribosomal RNA
Rfam family: Bacterial small subunit ribosomal RNA
Source: RNAcentral
CCUACGGGAGGCAGCAGUGAGGAAUAUUGGUCAAUGGACGAGAGUCUGAACCAGCCAAGUAGCGUGAAGGAUGACUGCCCUAUGGGUUGUAAACUUCUUUUAUAUGGGAAUAAAAUGUUCCACGUGUGGGAUUUUGUAUGUACCAUAUGAAUAAGGAUCGGCUAACUCCGUGCCAGCAGCCGCGGUAAUACGGAGGAUCCGAGCGUUAUCCGGGUUUAUUGGGUUUAAAGGGAGCGUAGGUGGGUGGUUAAGUCAGGUGUGAAAGGUUGCGGCGCAACCGUAAAAUUGCAGUUGAAACUGGCAGUCUUGAGUACAGUAGAGGUGGGCGGAAUUCGUGGUGUAGCGGUGAAAUGCUUAGAUAUCACGAAGAACUCCGAUUGCGAAGGCAGCUCACUGGACUGCAACUGACACUGAGGCUCGAAAGUGUGGGUAUCAAACAGGAUUAGAUACCCCAGUAGUC